This 64-nucleotide transfer RNA is filed under the name Blepharipa sp. CMERI-Uzi-001. RNAcentral's name for it is "tRNA-Asp". Lineage: Eukaryota; Metazoa; Arthropoda; Insecta; Diptera; Tachinidae. The record is from RNAcentral.
AAAAAAUUAGUUAAUAAAUAACAUUAGUUUGUCAAACUAAAAUUAUCUUUUAAGAUAUUUUUUA